GGCGGACGGGUGAGUAACACGUGGGUAACCUACCCAUCAGAGGGGGAUAACACUUGGAAACAGGUGCUAAUACCGCAUAACAGUUUAUGCCGCAUGGCAUAAGAGUGAAAGGCGCUUUCGGGUGUCGCUGAUGGAUGGACCCGCGGUGCAUUAGCUAGUUCGGUGAGGUAACGGCUCACCAAGGCCACGAUGCAUAGCCGACCUGAGAGGGUGAUCGGCCACACUGGGACUGAGACACGGCCCAGACUCCUACGGGAGGCAGCAGUAGGGAAUCUUCGGCAAUGGACGAAAGUCUGACCGAGCAAGCCGGUGAGUGAAGAAGGUAACGGGUCGUAAAACUCUGUGUAGAGAAGAACAAGGACGUUAGUAACUGAACGUCCCCUGACGGUAUCUAACCAGAAAGCCACGGCUAACUACGUGCCAGCAGCCGCGGUAAUACGUAGGUGGCAAGCGUGUCCGGAUUUCAUUGGGCCGUACAGCGAGCGCAGGCGGCCUCUUAAGUCUGAUGUGAAAGCCCCCGGCUCAACCGGGAGGGUCAUCUGGGAAACUUGGGAGACUUUGAGUGCCAGAAGAGGAGAGUGGAAUUCCCAUGUGUAACCGGUGAAAUGCGUAGAUAUAUGGAGGAACACCAGUGGCGAAGGCGGCUCUCUGGUCUGUAACUGACGCUGAGGCUCGAAAGCUGGGGAGCAAACAGGAUUAGAUACCCUGGUAGUCCACGCCGUAAACGAUCGAGUGCUAAGUGUUGGAGGGUUUCCGCCCUUCAGUGCUGCAGCUCAAUACGCAUUAAGCACUCC
This 794-nucleotide ribosomal RNA is filed under the name uncultured low G+C Gram-positive bacterium. Its description in RNAcentral is "bacterial SSU rRNA". It matches the Rfam family "Bacterial small subunit ribosomal RNA", at positions 97 to 870 of the family's 1533-position model. The record is from RNAcentral. Lineage: Bacteria; Bacillati; Bacillota.